Molecule: unclassified non-coding RNA, 339 nt
Filed under: soil metagenome
Description: partial contains 5.8S ribosomal RNA, internal transcribed spacer 2, and large subunit ribosomal RNA
Rfam family: 5.8S ribosomal RNA (bases 1-120)
Source: RNAcentral
GAUGAAGAACGUAGCGAAUUGCGAUAAGUAAUGUGAAUUGCAGAAUUCAGUGAAUCAUCGAAUCUUUGAACGCACAUUGCGCCCCUCGGUAUUCCGUGGGACAUGCCUGUUCGAGCAUCAUUUAACCCCUCAAGCCUAGCUUGGUAUUGGGUGCUUGUCCCGCCUCUCGCGCGGCGACUCACCUCAAAGUCAUUGGCAGCCCGCAUCUCGCCGGCCGUGAGCGCAGCACAGACGCGCUCUUGGCAACGACGGAUCGGCUCUCCAAAAGCUUAUUUCAACCACUGACCUCGGAUCAGGUAGGGAUACCCGCUGAACUUAAGCAUAUCAAUAAGCGGAGGA